CUAAGACCUGACCAGAGGAAUGUUUUCACUUGUAGUAAGACUGGAAGCCAAUUGUCUCCUUAGGUAAAAAAAAAAAGCAGUUGAGCCAGUACUGAUUAGAUCCUCCCCUUCUGACUGAGCCUUAAAAGGAAAUAAUCCAGAGAGAGAGACAAAGGAAGUAGGACAGAGGGUGGAGGCAGGAACAUGGCGAGAGGCCAAGUCAGGGUCCUACUUGCUGAUGUGACAAUGAGGGGCACAAGUGGAGCCCUCAUGGCUUCACUUGGGCAAUCAGCAGCAUAAAAGAUGGGCAGGAAGCAUAGCCACCAUCAACUCACACUGCAGGGAGUCAUGAAUAUCACCUCCGUCUUUGACAUAUGAGGGGAGAAAUGCUCAGACCACAAAAGUGUCCUCCAACCCAGGGUCCAGGAGGGAAGAAUAAAACACUGGGCAAUUGCUGUUCCAGCAUGCCCGCAGAACACAUGGAGCAAAUGCCUUCUCGUCCCAGACCCAGGGACAAGGGAGUCUGCAUGGAGGUGCCACAGAUGGAGCAUUCUGGGAAUAUAGAGACCUGGAUUCUAGGACUGACCUUGUAAGAGUGGGCAUCAGCCAUCAGAAGGAAAACCCAGCAUUUCUGGUGCCUCAGAAAUCACGCCAGGGACCGGCCUCUUCUUUCAUCCAAACGUAUGUGAGUGUCUACUACAGUCCUUGUUGGAAAGUUUCAGUAAAUUUUUUUUUUAAUUUUAUCUUUCUUUUAAAGAUUGGCACCUGAGCUGACAACUGUUGCCAAUCUUCUUUUCUUUUUCUUUUCUGCUUUUUCUCCCCAAAUCCCCCCAAUACAUAGUUGUAUAUUUUAGUUGCAGGUCCUUCUAGUUGUGGCACUUGGGAUGCUGCCUCAGCAUGGCCUGAUGAGUGGUGUCAUGUCCACGCCCAGGAUCCGAAUCAGCGAAGCCCUGGGCCACCGCAGCGGAGCGCGUGUACUUAACCACUCGGCCACGGGGCCAGCCCCCUCAGUAAAUGUUUUUUGAACUCAACUCUUAAGUUUUAUGAAAAUAAACCUGAUCAGUGAGCUUUUAUGGAACAUCUACUAUCAUUGUAGUAUUAUCGAGGAUAAGGAAGCAACAAGGAAAAAAAUGCUCUCUGGUUCAACAUCUAGACCCACUGACGAGCCAAGACAGGCAGAGAGGAAACACUAAUGGUAAUAAUAAUAAUAAUAAUAAUAGUCAUAGUAAUAGUAACUUCCAUUCUUUGAACAACUACUGUGUGCCAGGGACUUAACAUGCUUUUUCACAUUUAUUUCUCAUAUUUAUUUCUCACAACAGUGCUGUGAGGGUAUUAUGAUGCUCAUUUUACAAAUAAAGGAAACGAAACUCAGAAAUUUUUUAGUAACUUGGGGAAAGACGGCAAAUAGUAAAUGAUGGAGCCAAGAUUUUAAGUACAAUGUGUUUGAUAAAGCCAGUAUUCCUUCUAUGACACCCUGAUGCUGUAUUGAGCAUGGCAAGGUUAAGAGGGAGGGAGGAAGAGAUGCAGAUUCUAUACAUGUGUGUUUAGGGAUUUGGAGGAAAAGAGCUUGCUGCCGAGUAGGGUUGGCGCAAGGAGACAUUGUGGAGGGGUUGGCUUUAUACAGGGAGCAGGUUUUUUUCUGAAUAUUUAUUUGUAGUUUUAUCUUUAGAAUAUAUACUUUCAUUGAUGGAUAGUCAGGGAACUGCUUUCAAAAGUCACUUGAAAUAGUAUAUUAGAGGCUCUUUUGGAAGAGCUUUGAGAUUGGAGAAAAUACAGAGUUUGGCACAUUGCUGGGUGUCAGUUAAUGAUGACUAGAUGGACGGACAGAGAAAUACGUCAAAAGCAAAUGGGACAUCUAGACCACCUACAUUAUGUCUAUGGGUUGAACUUGCUGUUAGCAUCAGUUUUAAAUAUUAUAAAGCUUUUUAAAUUCAAAUCUUUCAAGAUCUUGCUCAUAGUAAUUAGUUAUUCCACUUAUGCUGUUCUGGUCCAGGUCGCAGCCCGGCUCGUGGCUUCCUGAAAUGAGAACGGCCUUCUGAGUGGAUUCAACCCCAGAUGUUGCUUCACUCCUGAGAUCCUGGGCAGUCGCCUCAUCCCCAGACUUGGGGAGAAUUUGGCUGACCAUGGAAGUUCAUUAUUCAUUCAUUUAACAAACCUAUAAGGAGUCCCCUAAGUGCCUAGCACUGUUCUGAACUCUGGAGAUCAGGGGAAAAUGAAGACUCUGCUCCGAGGGAGUUCACAUUCCAGUGGGCUGAGUUGGAUAAUGAAGAAGGAGCUCCACUAAUCUGUGUGUUGAUUUAAGAUAGAGGUAAGCACCACGAAACAGUCAAAGGUGAGGCAAUGUCAGGGAAUACUUUAAAUGGGGGUGUCAAUGAAGGCCUCUUUGAGGAGCUGACAUUUGAGCUAAGAUCUGAAAGAUAGGAAAGAGAUAGAAAUCAAAGGAGAAAGUGAACUCCUGGCAGAAAGCAAGGCAGGUGCAAGGUCUCUGGGGUGGGAAGGAGCCUGGUGGGUUUGAGGAACUGAAAAGCUAGUGCUGGAGCACAGGUCUGAGGGGCAGGCAGGCACUGGAUCAGGUUGAGCCUCGUCAGCCAGGGUAAAGAGUAUCUGCAUGUUAUUCUGAUUGCAAUGCGAAAGCACUAGAAGGUCUGAGCAAAGGAAUGACAUAAUCCAAGUUUAUGUUUAAAGAUCACUCUCGCCUGCCAAAUCUCUACUUCAAUCUGAUUCUGAUUUCAGUAUCAUUUACUGAGCAUGCAUUUUGUGCCAAUCACCAUACUAGGCAUAUAUAUACAUAUAUACAUAUUCAUACGUAUAUAAUAUCUAUCUAUCUAAUCUCCAGUUUCCAACCCGCUACUCCAGGUGCAUGUUAUUACUUCCAUUUUGAAAUGGAGAAGCCAUAGCACAGAGAGCGACUUGCUCUAAGUCACAGGGCUGUAUGGUUUAGCUUAGAGUCAGAGUUUGAACCAGAAUUGGCUUAAUGUUCUCUACUCUUUCCACUCUGCCAUGCUAUCUCAACCAUGCAAUUAUGGGGUUUAAGAAGUUUUGAUUAAUAAAAUUAUCUCAAGAGUGAAAAAGCCAAGACAUUUUUGCACCAGCUUUCAUUUAUGCAGGCCAGAGCUGCCCUGCCUUUGGCUGUGCUGCUCCUGUGUCCUACAGCCAGGUCCUGCCACCUCUCUGGAUGCUGCAGAUGGAGGAGCUCACUGGGGAAGCCGCUCCAGGACCCUCAGGUCCCUUGUGGACAUGCCUCGUUAUACACUUCCUGAUACCUACACUAUGGGCUUCCCGUCCAGGGUUUCUCUGCUCUAGAAGACGCUGCAGCAUCCACUUGGCACCCAAGCUUGAGCAACCUGGAUGUUGGAAGAGUUAACAUUUCAUGGGUAAACUUCUGUGGAGCCAGUGAAUACAUUUUUUACCCUUCUUCCCCUUGGAGACACUGUUUAGAGCUGCAGUGGCUUCAGGAGGCUGAAGUCAGCUUGAAGAGGCUCUGGUCUUCUUUGGAAGAGACUUUUCAAUAUUUUUCUCCCCCUCCUUCGCUGCCCUAUGCCUCUUCCCUCUCUUCUGCUCCCGGGGAUUGUACUCCCCAGUGACAUUCUCCCAGAAGCUGUUGCUGCAGGCUCUGUUGUCUAAGACAACCCUCCUCUACAGCUCUCACUUUCUUUCACUAGUUUCCUCUCACUCUGCUCUCACAGCCAGGCCGCUUCUUCUAGGUGGACUAAGAAGCUCUUUAUGGCUUGCCAGGCCCAACAAAACCCUUCUGCCUGAUGUUCCUCUGAAUCCUAAACUCCAGUCUCAGAACUGGCACUUGAGGGUUUAUAUAUUUACCAGGGAAGUUGGAAUGUACUGGGGGGCGAAAGGCAUGAUGCAAUAACAUCUGUGAACCCAACAGCAGAACUUUUUAAAGCACUAAAUACAAGGCACCAUUUUUAGCCUUGCGGAGAAGGAAGAAACUAACAUUGAUUGAGCAUCUGUUAUGUUCAAUAAUUCCCUCAUACAUUUAUUCAUCUUGUGUUUUUCUGCUGCCUCCCACAUGCUGGUUGCUGUCUUAGAUAAAUCCUGGGGAUCCCAGCUGAAUGAGAAAGCCCUUGCCUUAAAAGGGCCUUUGGUCUAAUAAGUAUCAGGCUGUGCGCUGGGCAGUCUUAUUGAAGCUUCACAGCCAUGCUUUCUAAUUUAAGUGCUUUCAUAUCUAUAAUUUCACUGUAUCCUGGCAAUCAACUUUGGGUGGAUGAUUGUGUCCAUUCUACUGGUGAGAAAACUAAGGCUCAGGAGGUUAAAUGAUUUCCCAGAGUUAGUUAUGAACUUAGGUCUCCCGGACCUAACUCCAUAGCUCUUCCUCGCCCACAUAGCUGAUCCUUGACCGUACAGAAUUGUGAGGGUGGCCUCCCCACUUCAGAUUUUGCCCUCUAGUUGCACAUAUGUCACUCUGUGUAGCCCUGAACUUGCCCAUGGGGAGUUUAGUGUGUUCAGCUGGUGUUCCACGGGGUCCUCACUUGUCCUGGUCACAUGAUCCAGGUAAAUGGACAAUGUCCUCUAAUGUCAGAAAUGCAAACCCAAGCAUUCAAAAAUGUCUACACUUGAGAAAAUGCCUUUGUAAAGUCGAAACUGAGUAUUGGAUACCCAGUCUCAAAACUGAGGAAGACAUUAACAUAUGAUUUCCUCUGGCACGUGGUGUGGGAAUUAGAGUGCUUUAGUAAACAUUGCAGAAGGCCGUGUGGGUCAUCUCAAUCCAAAGCAGGGCAGAAGCUUCUGAGCUCUCCCCCUAAGCCGAGUGAGCAACUUUGCCCUUUCACUCACUUAAUGACUUUGCCUCAUCUGGAAAAAUUAUUCCCAAGAUAAAAAAUAAUAUUUAAGCAAAUUUUUCACAAACUGACCAAAUAAGAUUUUUAAAAAUUUGUAAAAUUGAAACUUAUCUUCGCUAUACAAAAGCCAAAGCAUUAACCAGAUACAUACAGAGCUCUGUGGUAUUAGAAUAUUAGUACCAAGUAAAAAAUAAGACAUUGAAUAACUUCAGCAAAGUUUACUCAGAGAGAAAAUUCAUUUAUUUAUCAAAAGCAAGUUAAUUCACCAUACCAGGGAGCUGUUGUUCUUUCCCAUUUACAAAAUUAAGCCUCCCUUAUUAAGCCAGAAUACUCUUCCAGGACAAUAAUGAAGAAUAAUGCAGCUUUUUAUUGCCUCUGGGGUAUGUCUGAGCACAGAUGGCCUUGAAAAUAAAACAGUAUUUUGGAGUGAAUUCAGUCUGCUUUCUUUUUUUUUCUAACCCGACUCCGGUGAGUGGAAGCAAUACCAUGUUCUUCAGCUCCCGAGAAACCCCUCGAGAUAAAUGGGACAGACAAACCCUCAUGCACACAUCCUUUACAUUUAUACUGACAGCCUAUAAAUAUGUGUUUAUGCAAAGCGCUCAACUAGUUAUGUAUUGACAACCUCUAGAAAUAAAUUCUGGACUGCGUGGAUUUGAACUUCCCUGCUCCUGAAUCCUUCUGAGAUAUGGCCCUUGGCUCAGCUGAUAUUCAAAGGUCUGUGCAGCCUGAAUGUCAGAAAUUUUGCAUCUUCUGUGGCCUAAGGGAGUGUAGCACCUACACAGUUCACUGUCCUCCAACUUGCAGCUACUUCUUCAGAGACUGGUUCAGAGUGGUUCUGAAGACUGUCCUUAGAAAGCAUCGUCCUUUUCAGCUGACUCUUAUUGACCUCCAGGCCCUUUCACUCUGGAGGCUCCCAGAGUAUUAUGUGGCAAAGGUGGCACUAAAUUCCCUCAUUUAUAUUCUGGGCCAAGUGGUGAAAGAUUUUGUGCACGUCACUUCCAGUUUCUGAAAUCUUCAAUGGCAUCCUAUGUUCCAAAGAUUAAAACCCAAGUCCUCUAACCAGGCAGCCAAAUCUCCAUCCACCUGGAGUCAUCCAUUCAUCAGAUAUUUAUCAAGGGCUUACUAACUAAGCAUUGUGCUAUGGGUCAUCAGCAUCCCUGGCCUCAUAGACCUGACAUCUAUGGGAGACAAACAAUCACACAGCUAACUAUUUAGUUACAGCAAUACUAAGUGUGCUGAUGGAGAAGUGCAGGGUGCUGUGGGAGCUUCUAACUGAGGCUCCAGACCUGGCCUGGGGAGCCUGAAGAACCAGGAAACAGUUGGGGCUGGACACCCAGAACAAGGGGUUUAUGGCCCAAUGAGGCUGGAGGGACAGGCAAUCUUGGGCCAUUCUUGGUCUUGAAGAAAAUUCUAUGUGAAGACUUUGGAACUUUAUCAAAGGAGAAACUGGAAGCCACUAUGGGAUUUCAAGCAGGAAGAUAUGACUAAUUUUGUAUUUAUUCAUUUAUCUUUUGCUUAUGUUAUCUUAUUUAUUUAUUAUGGAGGUCACAUUGGUUUAUAACAUUAUAUACAUUUCAGGUGUACAUCAUUAUAUUUCAACUUCUGUAUAGACUACAUUGUGUUCAUCACCAAAAGUCUAGUUUCCAACUGUCACCAUACAGAUGUCUCCCUUUAGCCCUUUUGUCCUUCCUACACCUCCCUUCCCUGCUGGUAACCACCAAUCUGUUCUCUAUAUCUAUGUGUUUGUUUGUUAUUAUUAUUUUUUUAUCUUCCACAUAUGAGUGAAAUCAUGCUGUAUUUGUCUUUCUCCAUCUGACUUAUCUCACUUAACAUAAUACUCUCAAGGUCCAUCCACGUUGUCACAAAUGGCAAGAUUUCAUCUUUUUUAUUACUGAGUAGUAUUCCAUUUUAUAUAUAUACCACAACUUCUUUAUCCAUUCAUUUGUCGAUGGACACUUAGGUUGUUUCCAAGUCUUGGCUAUUAUAAAUAAUGUUGCAUUGAACAUAGGGGUGCCUAUGUCUUUUCAAAUUGGUGUUUCCAUGUCCUUUGAAUAAAUACACAGAAGUGGAAUAGCUAUAUCAUAUGGUAGUUCUGUUUGUGGAGAAAAGGGAGCCCUCAUACACUGCUCUUUGGAAUGUAAAUUGGUAUAGCCACUAUGGAAAACAGUAUGGAGAGUCCUCAAAAAAUAAUUUUGCAUUUAAACAAAUUGCUCUGGUUGCCAUUUAGAAGUGGUUUGGAGAUGGAACCUCAGAGGCCCAGAAAUCAGUCAAGAAUCUAUUGCAGUGGCCUAGAGGGGAAUGGAGGGGAUUGUGGAUAAAGGUGAUAAUGUUGGUGAAAGUGAGAAGUGAAUGAAGCUGUAUAGGGUACCUGAGCCUUUAUCUCUUUAAUCUAACACCAGGCUACAACCUUCCCCUCACUUGCUAAGAUUUUGUAAUUUGCCUUCAUGAGCCUUUAUUAAGAAAAAGGACUGAAAAAGAAGCAUGACUUCCUCUUUGUCAUAGGAACCACCCCAAUUUCAGACAUAAAAUUUGGUUUCAUUGCUUAAAGCCAUUGGCCCUUAGUCUCUCUCUGAGUGAGGGAGGUGGAUGGUCUAAUGGUCUGAAUUGUGUCCCCCCAAAUUCUUAUGUUGAAGCCCUAUCCCUCCGUGUGGUUAUAUUUGGAGACGGGGUUAAUGAGGUAACAAGGCUGAGUGAGGUCACAAGGGUGGCACCCUAAUCCAACAGUGCUGGUGUCCUUUUAAGAAGAGGAUGAGACAUAGAACUCUCACUCUCUGCACGUGCACAGAGGCCGUGUGAGGACACAGCAAGAAAGCAGCCUACAAGUCGGGAAGAGAAGCUUCAUCAAAAACUGAAUUUUCUGGCACCUUAGUCUUGAACUUCUAGCCUCCAGAACUACAAUAAAGUAAAUUUCUGUCGUUUAAGCCACCUAGUCUUCGGUAUCCUCUUAUGGCAGCCUGAGCUAACUAAGACAGCUGGGUAGAGGAGAAUGGAUCUGUGGCUAACCAUAUUUGAUAUUUUCACUGCUUUUUAGCUUUCCAAAUCACCCUUAUGGAAACAGAUCCAAUCUAUUUUAAGAAAAAUAUCUAUAUAAGAACGUGCCAGUCAUUUGGACCCUUCUCGUUCAGAAUGUUGGCCAAUUCACACAGGCUAGGCUAAUGUGGCACUUGAAAAAAGGACUUGAUGGUUUUUGAAAAGGGAGAGAUUUUAAGCGAAUUAAUACUGUAUACAGGAUUAUAUGGGCCAAGGAGACACUGGACAAACACCCCUAGCUUCGCUUUUUACUGGUUGUAUGCCCAUGAAUGUAUAGUUAACAUGGUAAGCCUCAAUUUUCUCAUCUAUAUAAGGUGUUGACUGAUAGUAUUGACCUCACAAGGAUCUGUAAGGAUUAACUUAGAUGAUGAAAGCAACAAAAUUUGCAGUUUCUGGUGUGUCAUAAGCACCUAAAAGAUGAUGGCUGCUAUCAUUUGGAAAUAGUUACACUUGUCAAAGCAACCAAAAGAGAAAAUGCAAAUUGUUUUCUAUUUCUUAAAUGUGGUAUGUAAAAGACCCAAGAAGCUGAAGACCAAACAUGUAAGUCCUGAUUAGUUUAACUAACUUACUCGUAUGGAGAACUGGGAAGUCAUGACAAGCUACUAAGAAUUCUAGAAUUUGGGUUUCAGGGCAGCCAGUCCUUCCCCAGCCCACACACAUCAAUAAAGCUUGCCAGUGUGGCUCUUAGUCUUCCAACACAAGGAUUUCUUUUGUACUUAAGAUCCUUGCUAUUCUUUCCCCUGUUCCAGGGCAGCUACCUAUGAGGCUGGAAGGAAACAAUGCAGAAUUUGGAGCCAGAGGUCCUGGAAUACAGUCUGAUUCUGACACUCACUGGUUUAUGACCAUGGGCAAAAAUGUUCUCUUCCACCCGUCGUGCUUCAAAUUUUUUAUUUGUAGUCAAAAACGUGAGUGGAGUGGUUAUGUCUGUUCUGCCUAUUCAGGUUGUUUGGAGAAAGAACUACAUAGACUCUCAAGUAAUAUGCAGAUAUAAUGAGCCAUUAUUGAUGUUUUUGUAAUUUUGGUUUUCUAUUAUAAUUUGGCAUCCCCUUCUCCCUUAGCUUGGAAGACAAAUUAGGUGAUUUUUGCUCCAUAAAUUAUUUAUUGCUUUUUACUAGUGGACUGCUUUGAUCGUCGACAUCAAUGCUAUGAUAUGCAAGUGUUCUGGAAUAAAUAGAGCUGUGGUGAAAUUAAACAACAACAGUUGGCCCUCUGAAGGCUAGGUCAUGGCAGCUGGGUAAAAUAAGAGACAAACUGAUAACCUGUGGUAUGAGUGAUUCUAACCCAAACCUUGCUCAGGGCACUGAGGAUCCAUGUUCUUGACUUGUCCCUUUGAGGUAAGUAGAACUUAUCCUGAAAAAAACAUAGGCUGUUGGGUCUGAAAAGUCUAGAUUUAAAUCCUAGAUCCAGAAUACACUUGAUUUGGGACAUUAGAUAAUUUAUUUAGCCUAUAGAUUCUUCAAUUAUUUCACCUAAAAAAUGGAAGCGAGUAAUAUUACUUCCUAAUUAUUGACCUUGUUUCAGGUGUGUCAGUACACCAAGCUCAUUGUUACCCCAGGGCCUUUGCUUGUACUUUUCUGUUUGUCCAGAUAACCUGUCUCCCUGUUCUUUUCAUGGCCGUUUUUGUUUCAUCCUCCAGCAUACCUUAAAAUGUCAGUUAAUCAGAGAAGACUUAUCUUUUUUUUCUUUUUUUUUGAUGAGGAAGGUUAGUCUUGAGUUAACAUCUGUGACAGUCUUUCUCUAUUUUACAUGUGGGAUGCUGCCUCAGCCUGUCUUGAUGAGUGGUAUGUAGGUUCAUGUCCGGGAUCCGAAGUGGUGAACCCCAGGCUGCCAAAGCGGAGCAUGUGAACUUAACCACUAUGCCACCAGGCCGGCCUCCAGAAAAGGCUUAUCUUAAUGUCUUUACCAAUUCAGUUCCCACACCCCAAACCCAAGUAUUCUCUAUGAUUUCACUGUUUCUUUCUGUUUUUUUCUUCUGUAAACUCUAUAAUUUUGUUUUGUUCAUCACUGUAUGUUCAGCAUGUAUACCAAGCUUACCACAUACUAGGCCAUUCAUAAUACUUAUUAAAUGAUGACUAAAUGGAUGAGUAAAUAAAUAAAAGAAUUGCCAUAAGGAUUAAAUACAACAAAAAAUUAAAAUAUCUUUAAAAAGUGCUUGACAUAUAGUAAACACUCAGGAGUGUUAUUUUCUUUCCUUUACUUUAGUUCAAUAAACAUUCUAUGGGAACCAAAACUGUACAGACAGUGUGCAAGGUGUUAGAUUUCCAUGAUGACAAUGGGAAGCCAGGACAAUUAGUUGACAUGAUUUCCCCAAGAACAGCUAAAAUGAUGACGAAGAAAGAGGAGGCAAAUUAUUUUAAUCAAUUCAAUAGUUGUCCUUUGCCUUGGUCAUUUGAAUGAGAUAAAAUUAAUUAUUAUCAUUUUUGAGAAAGAUCAAACAUAACUUUUGAGAUUCUCUGUUCAGAUAUAUAUUUCAUUCUUGACAAAACAUUAUUUCCUAUUUCUAUGAAAAUAAAACUAAAAAAGUUUCUUCAACAUUUCCUAAAGCUUAAAAAUACAUUGAGACAAGUAUUAACUUUCCCCUCCAAAUGUGUGACUGAUUCUAUUCCACUUGGGAUUGUCAGUCCUACAGAAUCUAUCAGUGACUCUGAAGGAAAUGUUUUCACUAAUUUCAUAUAUAUUCCUAUUGACUUUUGAAGAGAACAGCACUGUGAGAGCAACUCAAAAUUCAAUUUUGUACAACCUACAAGGGUAUUGUACUUUAAUUCAGAGAAGGAACGAAAAUUAUUCUUUCAAACAUUUAUUGAGCACCUGCUACAUGCAACACCCUGUGCUUCUUCUCCAUGACUUUUUACUCAUUGAUCUUGAUCAGGCCUCUGGAGUCAUGAGAAUAAGUCAGUUCCAUUUCUGUUCAUGACAGCCCUUCAAUCAUUGUGAGACUGCUGUCACAGCACCCCUGAGCGUCAUCUCCAGAUUAAACCUUCAAGCAUCCCUCACAGGUCUCAGAUGCUGACCCCCUGAUUAUUCUGACCACUGUCCUUAGAACAUGCUCCACUGUGCCUGUGUCAAGGCCCCUCUGGAAGAGAACAGGAUGCACAGAUGUGUAUGAUCCAGACAGAUCCAGAAAACCAUAGCUACCCUUGAGCUGAGCAUUGCAUUUCUUCACUCACUGCCUAAUGGCUCAACAAUUUUAGGUUUCUUCAGCCUCAGAAUUCUGUUGGCUCAUGUUGUGCUUGUG
Long non-coding RNA from Equus caballus (horse), 11037 nucleotides. The record is from Ensembl. NCBI's taxonomy places the organism in Eukaryota, Metazoa, Chordata, Mammalia, Perissodactyla, Equidae.